Bubalus bubalis (water buffalo) is the source of this 622-nucleotide long non-coding RNA. RefSeq lists it as uncharacterized. The record is from RefSeq and is a predicted model, not a curated record. Lineage: Eukaryota; Metazoa; Chordata; Mammalia; Artiodactyla; Bovidae. The transcript is spliced from 3 exons.
UACAAGAAUUGGACUCAUAGGAAGUCCUGGACACUUGACUUACUAGCCCAUUUAUUAGUGUUACAACUCUGAUACAUCUAGACCAAGGACCUAAGUCUCUUUAGUGACCCAGAGAACUUAGAAGGAAAACUGUAGCUUUGAUAAAGGGUGGAUGGACUGGAUUAAAGAAUGGAGACUUUCUACAACCUAGUGGAGAAAGAAGGAGUUGGUCCAGAAAUUGUCUAGGCCUCUGGUCCUCUUUGAGGUGUUAGCAGUAAAAGAUACCAAGAAAAUGAAGAACUAGAAUAUGGAAUACUGUCACAUGGAACUAAUAUAAGAAAUACAACUAAAGACAAACUUAAAUGAAGAAAUUUUGUAUGCUGUCAACCACAGAAUUAGAGAAAUGACAGAUGAAUACCCUGAUUGUCAAACCACUUUCCGUACAAAAAUAAACUUCUGAACUUUGGUAUUUUACUUAAUAGAAAAUUUUUCUUUUUUGAAAAAGUUUUUAGUAUGUAUUAAGAUCUGAUGAAUGACCUCAGCCAUUCAUCAGAUCUUAAUGCACAUGAAAAAAAACAACAAGCUCAUCGCAAACUUUGAGACUCUGAAAAAAUAAUUGUAUAAGUAGAAUGACAUUUAAAAU